AGAAUCAACGCUGGCGGCGUGCCUAACACAUGCAAGUCGAACGAGAAAGUGGAGCAAGUCCAUUAGUAAAGUGGCGCACGGGUGAGUAACACGUGACUAACCUACCCUUGAGUGGGGGAUAACCUAGGGAACCUGGGCUAAUACCGCAUAAUACCUUCGGGUCAAAGGAGCAAUUCGCUUAAGGAGGGGGUCGCGGCCGAUUAGUUAGUUGGCGGGGUAAUGGCCCACAAGACGAUGAUCGGUAU
Molecule: ribosomal RNA, 245 nt
Filed under: uncultured bacterium
Lineage: Bacteria
Description: partial small subunit ribosomal RNA
Rfam family: Bacterial small subunit ribosomal RNA
Source: RNAcentral